Molecule: ribosomal RNA, 305 nt
Filed under: uncultured bacterium
Lineage: Bacteria
Description: bacterial SSU rRNA
Rfam family: Bacterial small subunit ribosomal RNA
Source: RNAcentral
CCUACGGGGGGCAGCAGUGAGGAAUAUUGGUCAAUGGCCGAGAGGCUGAACCAGCCAAGUCGCGUGAGGGAUGACGGCCCUACGGGUUGUAAACCUCUUUUGUCGGGGAGCAAGACCCGCCACGAGUGCCGGGACGAGAGUACCUGAAGAAAAAGCAUCGGCUAACUCCGUGCCAGCAGCCGCGGUAAUACGGAGGAUGCGAGCGUUAUCCGGAUUUAUUGGGUUUAAAGGGUGCGCAGGCGGUCUAUUAAGCCAGCGGUCAAAUCGCGGGGCUCAACCCCAUCCCGCCGUUGAAACUGGCGGUC